CAAGUAUAUAAAGAGAUUGUUACAGAAUCAUAGCUAUAUAUCAAAGAGAGCCAUAUAAAAAUCUAAAUAAAAAAAAUGGCUAAAGCGUUUAAAUGUGUAGGUACUACACGUAGAACUCUAAUAAGAAAUUAAAUAUGUAAACGGAGUGAAUUGAAAUAUCUUAGUAACUUCAGGAAAAGAAAUCAAAAGAGAUUUUUUAAGUAAUGUGAAUGAAAUAAGAAACGUCUCAAAAAGUAAAAUGGAUGGAAAUCUGUUUGAAGAAAAGGGGAACCUUCCUCUAAGACUAAAUAUGAUGUAUAUGCGAUAGUGAAAAGUACCGUGAGGGAAAUGAUUAAAAUAGCAAUUUUAUAAGCAGCUCAAGAAAAAUUUAAGUAAAUAAUAAGAGCGUACCUUUUGCAUAAUGGGUCAGCAAGUUAAUGUUUGAUGCGAGCAGUAAUGCGUAGAUAAAACAAUUAUGAUAUAAUGAUGUAGUAUCAAAAAUUAGACCCGAAACCUAGUGAUCUUACCAUAAUCAGGGUUAUAAAAGUCCGAACGGGUUAUCGUUGUAAAGAUAUCCGAAGAAUUGUGGUAAGUUAGUGAAAGACAACACUGACUAGGCGUUAGCUGGUUUUCUGCGAAACCUAUUGAAGUAGGUAAUUUAAAUAGAAUAUCAGGAGGUACAGAAUUGUGAUCUCAUACAACUAGCAUUUUAUUUUCAUCUUUUUUGUUUUGUCUUUUUACUUAAAAAAUAAAAAGUAUUAACUAUUAGAAGAUUAUGGUGAAAUGCUCUUUGUGGACAUUGGGGGGUCGUGAAGACUCUAUCAGUGAGUAUUUGUUCUCGGAAGGACUAGAUAUGUAUAUUAAAUAAUCGGACAUAGUGCGAAAAGGUUGUAUGUCUAAAGGGAAACAGCCCAGAACAAGAGUUAAUAAGGUUCCUAAAUUUUUGUUAAGUGAAAUUAAGGCAGUAUUUAGCCUAGUCGACCAGGGAAUAGGCUUAGAAGCGGCCAUUUUUUGAAGAUCUCGUAACAGAGCACUGGUUUGUCAUAUGGAUAAAAGCACCUAAAAUUUAACGGAUCUAAACAAUAUACCGAAACCUUGUCCAUAUAAAAGAUAAAACAUAUAUUAUGUAUGGGGUAGCAGAACAUUGGGCAGGUUUUAGAUUAUUUCUUUAUAAGGACUAAAAUUAAACAGCUCAAGUGAGAAUGCUGACAUGAGUAACGAUAAAGGGUAUUACCCUCGCCUAAAGCUUAUGGAAUUUAGAUAAAGUUACGGCCUCUAAGUUUAUAAUAACUUUUACUAAAAAAGUGAAAAAUGUUCUGGAAAUCUGUAAAAAGCAUUUUCUUGUGUAAAUAAACUAAAAUAGAUGAUACGCAAAAAAAUGAAAUAUACCGUACCUAAAUACUAACACAAGUAAGCAAGUAGAGUAUACGAAGGCGUUCGAGUGAACAAUCAUUAAGGAACUCGGCAAAUUGACUCUCGUAACUUCGGGAUAAGGUGGGCCAUUCUUCUGGAUUAAUAUUAACGGAGGAAUAGGAGGCAUAGAAUGGUGUUGUACGACUGUUUAAUUAAAACAAAGCACGCUGCAAAGAAAUAAAUUCGAAGUAUUGAGUGUGAUCUCUGCCCGAUGGUAGAUGGUUAUCGGAUUUGCUUAGUUGACUAAUACAGGCUAGGUUUUGAAGGAACCCCUGCUCAAUGGCGGCCUUACAGAUGAGGGCCCUAAGGUAGCGGAAUACCCUGGCCGUUGAAUGCGGUCUUGCAUGAAUGAUGUAACGAUACAACAGCUGUCUCAAUGAUUGGCUCGGUGAAAUUGGAAUAACUGUGCAGAUACAGUUUACCUCUAGUUAGACGAGAAGACCCUUUGCAGCUUUACUGUUGCUAGUUACUGAGUAUGAUACAAUAAGUUAUAGCGUAUAAGGUAAUUGAUAAGAUAUAAUUGAAACACCUUUACUUAAUUUGUCAUAUUAUAUAUACCAUGUUAAAAUGUUAGCAUUGGUUAUAAAAAUUGAUAAAACAAUUGCUAGGUGGCAGUUUAUGCGGGGCACAGAUCCCAUAAAAAGUACCUGGGAGUAUCCAAAUUCAUUUCUGUAAAAUUGCAUCUUGCAAUUAUACAUGUUUAAAUUUAUUUCUAGACAUGUUUAUUAUUUUUAGUUAGAAAUUGGUAUUAAUGUAAUACUAAUCCAGUUAUUUAUUCAUUUAAGUUGGAGUUUUUAAUUUUUAAGUAGGAUUUUAACUACAUUAAAAUGUAGAUGUAAUUAAAGAUAAUUAUAAUACUUAUCAAGUUUAACGGCUUAAUCCUGCUUUACUGUUUGACUUACACGUCUAUCAGUCGCGUAAGCGGGGCAUAUGAUCACAAGAUGCAGAAAGGAAAGGUCUUGGAUUAAUGAAAAAGUUACGCUAGGGAUAACAGGCUAAUUGCGCCAGAGAGUACAAAUUGAGUGCGCAGUUUGGCACCUCGAUGUCGGCUUAGCUCAUCCACAUGAAUGCAGGAGUCAUGAAGGGUUGGACUGUUCGUCCAUUAAAGAGCUACACGAGCUGGGUUUAAUACGUCGUGAGACAGUAUGGUUUCUAUCUUCUAGAGGAAAUUAGAAUAAAAUAAGGAUAGCCCCUUGUACGAAAGGAGUUGGGUAUAUUAACCUAUGGUUUACCUGUUGUUUACUCACCUAUAUUAAUAUAGUAUAUAGGCACGGCAGGAAAGCUAUGUUAGUUAAUGAUAAAUGCUGAAUGCAUAUAGGCACGAAACAUACCUUAAGAUAUUCUUAAAUAUAUGUAGUUUAAUACUACGAUUUAUUAAUAGGCUUUGGUUUAAAGAAUUGUGACGUUUUUAGGCACAAAGUACUAAUUUUAUAAUUUACUAAAUAAUA
RNAcentral lists this ribosomal RNA (2840 nucleotides) under Lecanora strobilina. RNAcentral's name for it is "16S ribosomal RNA". It matches the Rfam family "Bacterial large subunit ribosomal RNA". Lineage: Eukaryota; Fungi; Ascomycota; Lecanoromycetes; Lecanorales; Lecanoraceae. The record is from RNAcentral.